CACUCCUAUUUCUGCCCCAUCUUCUUAUUACUCCAUAGAUUAAUGGGUUCUAGUAAAGGAGAAGAAAAAGCCGUGGAAUGGCUUCCCGCACUUGAUACUUCGCGGUUUAGCUUCAUUCCGCGGAUCGUGUGUAGUGGCAGGUUAUCCGGCUGCAGCAUUUUAUGUGCAGUCGGGCUGUCAUUGCUCUAUAUUU
This 193-nucleotide small nucleolar RNA is filed under the name Eremothecium gossypii ATCC 10895. RNAcentral describes it as "Ashbya gossypii ATCC 10895 Small nucleolar RNA snR43". It matches the Rfam family "Small nucleolar RNA snR43". Lineage: Eukaryota; Fungi; Ascomycota; Saccharomycetes; Saccharomycetales; Saccharomycetaceae. The record is from Rfam by way of RNAcentral.